GUCUUGCUGUCACUUAUAGAUGGAUCCGCGCUGCAUUAGCUAGUUGGUAAGGUAACGGCUUACCAAGGCAACGAUGCAUAGCCGACCUGAGAGGGUGAUCGGCCACACUGGAACUGAGACACGGUCCAGACUCCUACGGGAGGCAGCAGUAGGGAAUCUUCCGCAAUGGGCGAAAGCCUGACGGAGCAACGCCGCGUGAGUGAUGAAGGUCUUCGGAUCGUAAAACUCUGUUAUUAGGGAAGAACAUAUGUGUAAGUAACUGUGCACAUCUUGACGGUACCUAAUCAGAAAGCCACGGCUAACUACGUGCCAGCAGCCGCGGUAAUACGUAGGUGGCAAGCGUUAUCCGGAAUUAUUGGGCGUAAAGCGCGCGUAGGCGGUUUUUUAAGUCUGAUGUGAAAGCCCACGGCUCAACCGUGGAGGGUCAUUGGAAACUGGAAAACUUGAGUGCAGAAGAGGAAAGUGGAAUUCCAUGUGUAGCGGUGAAAUGCGCAGAGAUAUGGAGGAACACCAGUGGCGAAGGCGACUUUCUGGUCUGUAACUGACGCUGAUGUGCGAAAGCGUGGGGAUCAAACAGGAUUAGAUACCCUGGUAGUCCACGCCGUAAACGAUGAGUGCUAAGUGUUAGGGGGUUUCCGCCCCUUAGUGCUGCAGCUAACGCAUUAAGCACUCCGCCUGGGGAGUACGACCGCAAGGUUGAAACUCAAAGGAAUUGACGGGGACCCGCACAAGCGGUGGAGCAUGUGGUUUAAUUCGAAGCAACGCGAAGAACCUUACCAAAUCUUGACAUCCUUUGACAACUCUAGAGAUAGAGCUUUCCCCUUCGGGGGACAAAGUGACAGGUGGUGCAUGGUUGUCGUCAGCUCGUGUCGUGAGAUGUUGGGUUAAGUCCCGCAACGAGCGCAACCCUUAAGCUUAGUUGCCAUCAUUAAGUUGGGCACUCUAAGUUGACUGCCGGUGACAAACCGGAGGAAGGUGGGGAUGACGUCAAAUCAUCAUGCCCCUUAUGAUUUGGGCUACACACGUGCUACAAUGGACAAUACAAAGGGCAGCGAAACCGUGAGGUCAAGCAAAUCCCAUAAAGUUGUUCUCAGUUCGGAUUGUAGUCUGCAACUCGACUACAUGAAGCUGGAAUCGCUAGUAAUCGUAGAUCAGCAUGCUACGGUGAAUACGUUCCCGGGUCUUGUACACACCGCCCGUCACACCACGAGAGUUUGUAACACCCGAAGCCGGUGGAGUAACCUUUUAGGAGCUAGCCGUCGAAGGUGGGACAAAUGAUUGGGGUGAAGUCGUAACAAGGUAGCCGUAUCGGAAGGUGCGGCUGGAUCACCU
This 1332-nucleotide ribosomal RNA is filed under the name Staphylococcus aureus M1481. RNAcentral describes it as "bacterial SSU rRNA". It matches the Rfam family "Bacterial small subunit ribosomal RNA", at positions 206 to 1528 of the family's 1533-position model. The record is from RNAcentral. Lineage: Bacteria; Bacillati; Bacillota; Bacilli; Caryophanales; Staphylococcaceae. RNAcentral also lists the same sequence under 2 other names.